CAGUAGCCGCGGUAAUACGUAGGGCGCAAGCGUUGUCCGGAAUUAUUGGGCGUAAAGAGCUCGUAGGCGGUCUGUCGCGUCUGGUGUGAAAUCCCGAGGCUCAACCUCGGGCUUGCAUCGGGUACGGGCAGACUAGAGUGCGGUAGGGGAGACUGGAAUUCCUGGUGUAGCGGUGGAAUGCGCAGAUAUCAGGAGGAACACCGAUGGCGAAGGCAGGUCUCUGGGCCGCAACUGACGCUGAGGAGCGAAAGCAUGGGGAGCGAACAGGAUUAGAUACCCCGGUAGUCCCUGUCUCUUAUAC
RNAcentral lists this ribosomal RNA (301 nucleotides) under uncultured bacterium. Its description in RNAcentral is "partial 16S ribosomal RNA". It matches the Rfam family "Bacterial small subunit ribosomal RNA", at positions 509 to 807 of the family's 1533-position model. The record is from RNAcentral.